Molecule: long non-coding RNA, 258 nt
Filed under: Sus scrofa (pig)
Lineage: Eukaryota; Metazoa; Chordata; Mammalia; Artiodactyla; Suidae
Description: lncRNA (ENSSSCG00025064058.1)
Source: RNAcentral
GGUGGGUCAUGUGCUCCCAGCAGGAAGAGGCUGGAUGUAGAAGCUCCCUAAGUGAUAAGCCAGGUAGUACCUGGGCCAGAAAUCGAUGCUGUGGGUGUCCCCAGCGGGAGGCUCUGGGGAAUUCAUAAGUAUUUGACCACCUGCCACACCCAGAGGGCUCGAAAGCCAGGACCCCCCCCCCCCCAGUUUCUUGAAGAAAACAAACUGCACAACGUGGAGCAUGGUUGGAGACAGAACGUAGGAGCCGGUUUUCCAGCC